RNAcentral lists this transfer RNA (73 nucleotides) under Trichonephila inaurata madagascariensis. It matches the Rfam family "tRNA". From Rfam's summary of the family: Transfer RNA (tRNA) molecules are approximately 80 nucleotides in length. Lineage: Eukaryota; Metazoa; Arthropoda; Arachnida; Araneae; Nephilidae. The record is from Rfam by way of RNAcentral.
AUCUCUGUAGCGCAAUGGAUAGCGUGUUGGAUUUCAAUUCCAAAGAUCGUGGGUUCGAAUCCCACCCGAGAUG